This 253-nucleotide ribosomal RNA is filed under the name uncultured bacterium. RNAcentral's name for it is "partial 16S ribosomal RNA". It matches the Rfam family "Bacterial small subunit ribosomal RNA", at positions 524 to 776 of the family's 1533-position model. The record is from RNAcentral.
UACGAAGGUUGCGAGCGUUGUUCGGAAUCACUGGGCUUAAAGCGCAUGUAGGCGGCUCGUCAAGUGCCUUGUGAAAUCCCCCGGCUCAACCGGGGAAUUGCUCGGUAGACUGUCGGGCUUGAGGCAGGUAGGGGCGCGUGGAACUCUUGGUGGAGCGGUGGAAUGCGUAGAUAUCAAGAGGAACGCCGGUGGCGAAAGCGGCGCGCUGGGCCUGUCCUGACGCUGAGAUGCGAAAGCCAGGGGAGCAAACGGG